Molecule: ribosomal RNA, 403 nt
Filed under: Fusobacteriota bacterium
Lineage: Bacteria; Fusobacteriati; Fusobacteriota
Description: Fusobacteria bacterium partial 16S ribosomal RNA
Rfam family: Bacterial small subunit ribosomal RNA
Source: RNAcentral
UGGGGAAUAUUGCACAAUGGAGGGAACUCUGAUGCAGCGACGCCGCGUGAACGAAGAAGGCUUUCGAGUCGUAAAGUUCUUUUAUAUGGGAAGAUAAUGUCGGUACCAUAAGAAAAAGCCCCGGCUAACUACGUGCCAGCAGCCGCGGUAAUACGUAGGGGGCUAGCGUUGUCCGGAAUCACUGGGCGUAAAGGGUUCGCAGGCGGAAAUGCAAGUCAGGUGUAAAAGGCAGUAGCUUAACUACUGUAAGCAUUUGAAACUGCAUACCUUGAGAAGGGUGGAGGUAAGUGGAAUUUUUAGUGUAGCGGUGAAAUGCGUAGAUAUUAAAAAGAAUACCGGUGGCGAAGGCGACUUACUGGGCUCAUUCUGACGCUGAGGAACGAAAGCGUGGGUAGCAAACAGG